Long non-coding RNA from Pan troglodytes (chimpanzee), 8185 nucleotides. RefSeq lists it as uncharacterized. The transcript is spliced from 2 exons. The record is from RefSeq and is a predicted model, not a curated record. NCBI's taxonomy places the organism in Eukaryota, Metazoa, Chordata, Mammalia, Primates, Hominidae.
AGUCGGAGCCUCCCCGACGACCACCGCCCCCUGCUCCACGGUGCCCAGUCCCAUCGACCACCCAAGGGCUGAGUAGUGUGGGCGCACGGCGGGGGACUGGCAGGCGGCUCCACCUGCAGCCCCAGUGGGAGAUCCACUGGGUGAAGCCAGCUGGGCUCCUGACUCUGGUGGGGACUUGGAGAACCUUUAUGUCUAGCUAAGGGAUUGUAAAUACACCAAUAGGCACUCUGUAUCUAGCUCAAGCUUUGUAAACACACCAAUCAGCACCCUGUGUCUAGCUCAGGGUUUGUAAAUACACCAAUCGGCACUCUGUAUCUAGCUACUCUGGUGGGGACUUGGAGAACCUUUGUGUCCACACUCUGUAUCUAGCUAAUCUAGUGGGGAGGUGGAGAACCUUUGUGUCUAGCUCAGGGAUUGUAAACGCACCAAUCAGCACCCUGUCAAAACAGACCACUCGGUUCUCUGUAAAAUGGACCAAUCAGCAGGAUGUGGGUGGGGCCGGAUAAGAGAAUAAAAGCAGGCUGACCAAGCCAGCAGCGGCAACCCGCUCGGGUCCCCUUCCACACCGUGGAAGCCUUAUUCUUUUGUUCUUUCACUCUUUGGGUCCACACUGCCUUUAUGAGCUAUAACACUCACUGCGAAGGUCUGCAGCUUCACUCCUGAAGCCAGCGAGACCAUAAACCCACCAGGAGGAACAAACAACUUCAGACACCCCGCCUUAAGAGCUGUAACAGUCACCCCAAAGGUCCGCAGCUUCACUCUUGAGCCAGUGAGACCACGAACCCACCAGAAGGAAGAAACUCCGAACACAUCCAAACAUCAGAAGGAACAAACUCCAGAUACGCCGCCUUUAAGAACUGUAACACUCACUGGGAGGGUCCACAGCUUCAUUCUUGAAGUCAGUGAGACCAAGAACCCACCAAUUCCGGACACACCAAUACUUUGAGAGGCUGAGGCGGGCGUUCACUUGAGCCAAGUUCAAGACCAGCUUGGGCAACAUGGCAAAACCCCGUCUCUACAAAAAAAAAUACAAAAAUCAGCUGGGCGUGGUGGGGCCUGCCUGUAGUUCCAGCUACUCAAGAGGCUGAGGUUCGAGGAUGACUUAAGUCCUGGAGGUGCUGCUGUGAUCUUGCCACUGCACUCCAGCCUGGACGAUAAAGUGAUACUCUGUCUCAAGGAAAAAAAAAAAGAGAGAUCAAUUGCUGGGUGUGGUGGCUUAUGCCUGUAAUCCCAGCGCUUUGGGAAGCCAAGGCAGGCAAUCGCUUGAGCUGAGUUCGAGACCAGCCUGGGCAACAUGGUGAAACCCCAUCUCUACUAAAAAUACAAAAAUUAGCUGGGCAUGGUGGUGCGCUCCUAUAAUCCCAGGUACUCAGGAGGCUGAGGCAGGUGGCGGAGGUUGAACCCAGGAGGCAGAGGUUGCAGUGAGCUGAGAUUGCACCAUUGCACUCCAGCCUGGGCGACAGAGCAAGUGGUACUCCAUCUCAAAAAAAUAAAUAAAUAAAAUUAAAAUAAAAAUAAAUAUGCAACUAUCAUAGAUCCAGCCAUUUGGUUCCUUAUCUGAGAGAAAUGAAAGUGUACGUCUACACAAAGACUUGUACACACAUGUUCAUAGUAGCUUUAUUUGUCACAGCCAAAGACUGGAAACAACCCAAAUGACCACCAACCAGUUAAUGGACAAAUAGAAUACGGUCUAUCCAUAUAAUUGAAUGCUACUCAGCAACAAAAAAGAAUGAACUACUGAUACACACAACAUGGACAAAUCUCAAAAUAAUAUGCUGAGUGAAAGAAGCCAGACAAAAAUGAGUAUAUACUAUACAAUUUUAUAUACAUAAAAUUCUAGAAAAUGCAAACUUAUCUGCAUGAAAGAAAGCAGAUUAGUCUGGGCACAGUGGCUCACACCUGUAAUCCUAGCACUAUGGGAGGCCGAGGCGGGCAGAUCACUUGAGGCCAGGAAUUUGAGACGAGCCCAGCAAAAAUGGUGAAACCCCGUCUCCACCAAAAACACAAAAAUUAGCUGGGCAUGGUGGUGUGUAGUCCCAGCUACUCGGGAGGCUGAGGCAUGAGAGUUUCUUUUUUUUUUGUGAGACGGAGUCACACUGUCACCCACGCUGGAGUGCAGUGGGACUAUCUCAGCUCACUGCAACCUCCACCUCCCGGGUCCAAGCGAUUCUCCUGCCUUAGCCCCCCGAGUAGCUGGGACUACAGGUGUGCACCACCAAGCGUGGCUAAUUUUUUGUAUUUUUAGUAGAAACAGGGUUUCACCAUAUUGGCCAGGCUGGUCUUGAACUCCUGAUCUCGUGAUCCGCCCGCCUCGGCCUCCCAAAGUGCUGGGAUUACAGGUGUGAGCCACCAUGCCCAGCCAAGAAUUUAUUGAACCCAGGAGGCGGAGGUUGCAGUGAGCCAAGAUCACACCACUGCACUCCAGCCUGGGUGACAGAGCAAGGCACAGAAAAGGGGAGGGGAGGGGAGGGGAAGUUAGUGAUUACUUGGGAAGCAAGGGAGGGUAGAAUAGGCCACACAACUCUGCCCUGGUCUUAUCAGAAAGCAUGUGCUUUCUCUCCUGGAAUUUUUUUUUUUUUUUUAGAUGGAGUCUCGCUCUGUCACCAGGCUGGAGUGCAGUGGUACAAUCUCAGCUCACUGCAACCUUCACUUCCCGGGUUCACGCCAUUUUCCUGCCUCAGCCUCUCGAGUAGCUGGGACUACAGGCACCCACCACCACGCCCGGCUAAUUGUUUAUAUUUUUAGUGGAGACGGGGUUUCACCAUGUUGGCCAGUAUGGUCUCAGUCUCUUGACCUCAUGAUCCACCCACCUCGGCCUCCCAAAGUGCUGGGAUUACAGGCGUGAGCCACCGUGACUAGCCCUCUCCUGGAUUUAAAUAGUAGCAGCUGCAGUGAGCAUUUGUGGGCUUGGGAUAUUCAGUGGUCAGCAGCACUUCAUUCCCUAUGGAGACCUACCCUCCCUUGUGAGCAGUCACAGGAGAGUGGGUGACACACCUGCCCCCUACACAGAUGUACAAACGUCCAGUUCUCCCCGUCUCUGCUCCAGCUGCAAUCAAAUGGUGGGCACAUAAUCCAGGCUAGGGCAGCAACAUGUUCCCUCCAGGACUCGGCCGCUGAGUGAGCAAUUUGGGGCUGAGAGGAGCGAUGGAGGCUGUCCGGCCCAGGCGAUCACAAAAACACAUGAGGAGGGCCAGCUCACGCCUGUAAUCUGAGCACUUUGGGAGGCCGAGGUGGGCAAAUCACUUGAGGUCGGGAGUUCGAGACCAGCCUGGCCAACAUGGUGAAACCCCGUCUCUACCAAAAAUACAAAAAUUAGCCAGGCAUGAUGGCAUGCGCCUGUAAUCCCAGCUACUCGAGAGGCUGAGGCAGGAGAAUCACUUCAACCUGGGAGGCGGAGGUUGCAGUGAGCAGAGAUUGUGCCAUUGCACUCCAGCCUGGGUGACAGAAUGAGACUCUGUCUCAAAAACAAAAAAGGACAUGAGGAAACUUCUAGGAGUUGUAACUAUAUUAAUUAUUUUGUUCUUCUUUCCCCCCCCCCCUCCCUUUUUUUGUUUUGAGACAGAGUCUUGCUCUGUUCCCCAGGCUGGAGUGCAGUGGCAUGAUCUCAGCUCACUGCAACCUCCACCUCCUAGGUUCAAGCGAUUCUCCUGCCUCAAUCUCUCGAGUAGCUGGGAUUACAGGCGUGCACCACCACGCCCGCCUAAUUUUUGUAUUUUUAGUAGAGACGGGGUUUCACCAUGUUAGCCAGGAUGGCCUCGAUCUCCUGACCUCGUGAUCUGUUCGCCUCGGCCUCCCAAAGUGCUGGGAUUACAGGCAUGAGCCACCAUGCCUGGCCAAUUAUUUUGAUCAUGGUGAUGGUUUCACAGGUGUAGGCUUAUAUCAGAAUUCAUAAAAUUGCGUGCUUUAAAUGUGUACAGUUUAUUGUAUGUCAACUAUACCUCCAAAACACUCUUUUUUAAAAAUAUACUCACUCUGGCAUUUUUUUGAGACUGAGAAAAGAUUUUAAUUACUUCCAAUUAUAUUUUUCUGCCAAAUAAGUCACCAUGCGGAGACGAGGCAAUGAGAAGCCUUAGUUAUAUUUGGCUUACAUAUAUUACGCAUAGAGCUUGGUGCCUGCCUCAAUAAAUAGCAGCGCUCCAGAUAUCAUCUGACUGACACGGAGGAAAACUCUCUAUUUAGACGAGAAGUUGCAAACUCAGAACCCUUUAGGGUCCAAGCAGGUGAAGCAAAGCAAGACAAGUGUAUACAACAUGUAAUGGCAGAGACUAUGGCAAAAAGAAUUUAUGUCCAAUCUAAGUGCAUUUAAUUGCUGAGUGCUAAACAACAGACAUUGGUGGCCUGAAUUGGGCAAGUCCUGGGGUGUGGUCUUGAGGGACCUUCACUCUCCCUAUAACUAGAUACUCCAUGUAAAAUGGGUCCAUGUAACUUAGUGAUGUGAUAGUGUAUUAGUUCAUUUUCACAAUGCUGAUAAAGACAUACUGGAGACUGGGUAAUUUAGAAAGAAAAAGGGUGGACUCACAGUUCCACGCGGCUGGGGAGGCCUCACAAUCAUGGCAGAAAGCAAAAAGCACAUCUUACAUGGCAGCAGGCAAGAGAGAAUGAGAGCCAAGUGAAAAGGGAAACCCCUUAUAAAACCAUCAGAUCUUGUGAGGUUUCUUCACUGCCCUGAGAACAGUAUGGGGGAAACCGCCCUCAUGAUUCAAUUACCUCCCACCAGGUCCCUCCCACAACACAUGGGAAUUAUGGGAACUACAAUUCAAGAUGAGAUCUGGGUGGGGACACAGCCAAACUAUAUCAGAUAGCAACAGCUGAUCUUUUAGAAAAUGCUUUUAUUGGCGGGGCGCAGUGGCUCAUGCCUGUAAUCCCAGCACUUUGGGAGUCUGAGGCGGUUGGAUCACCUGAGGUCAGGAGUUCGAGACCAGCCUGAUCAACAUGGAGAAAUCCUGUCUCUACUAAAAAUACCAAAUUAGUUGGGCGUGGUGGUGCAUGCCUGUAAUCCCAGCUACUUGGGAGGCUGAGGCAGGAGAAUUGCUUGAACCCAGGAGGCGGAGGUUUCGGUGAGCCAAGAUCACACCAUUGCCUCCAGCCUGGGCAACAGAGUGAGACUCUGUCUCAAAAAAAAAAAAAAAAAUUAAAAAAAUUAGCUGGGCAUAGUGGUGGGCACCUGUAAUCCCAGCUACUCGGGUGGCUGAGGCAGGAGAGUCACUUGAACCUGGGAGGCGGAGUUUGCAGUGACCCUAGAUUGCAUCACUGCAUUCCAGCCUGGGCGACAGAGUGGGACUCCGUCUCAAAAAAAAAAAAAAAGGAAGAAAGAAAAAGAAAAAAAAAGAAAAUGCUUUUAUUUGGUGCUCCCAAGAACUCUGUGCACUAGAUAGGAUUAUUUCCAUUUUUCCAGAUGAGAAAACCGAGGCUCAGAGAUAUCACCUAGGCUCCUCCCCAGGGCCAGUGAAACAAAGACCCAGACUUACUUCUUCUUACCCUGGCCUGAGUUUUGUUUUGUUUUUUUUCCCCACCCAGCCACACCGAGAUUGUAUUGGCUUUGUUUAUUUCCAUGGGGUAAACCCAUGGAAAAACCCAACUUUCUCUUCCUUUCUGAAAUGACUGCUUCCAGGGGUCAGUGAAGUUUUGGAAGAAGGAGAAGGCGCACGGCCCCCUGGUGGAUGCUCUCGGAACUCUAAGGGUUGGAGACACAUACUUCUUCUACCCACCUGCCCAUUUCAAGUUGAUAUUUUUGUUUUUUACAAGUUCUCUUCUUAAGAAGUUCAUCUGGCCAGGCACAGUGGCUCAUGCCUGUAAUCCCAACACUUUGGGAGGCCAAGGGGGUGGAGCACCUGAGGUCAGGAGUUCAAGACCAAUCUGGCCAACAUGGUGAAACCCCGUUUCUACUAAAAAUACAAAAAUUAGCUGGUCAUGGUGGUGUGCUCCUGUAAUCCCAGCUACUUGGGAGGCUGAGGCAGGAGAAUCACUUGAACCUGGGAGGCGGAGGUGGCAGUGAGCUGAGAUCACGCCACUGCACUCCAGCCUGGGUGAUAAGAGUGAGACUCUGUCUCAAAAAAAAAAAAAAAAAAGAAGAAGAAGAAGAAGAAGUUCAUCUGUGUCCAAGAAUUCUGAGAUAAUAAUACAGGUAAAUCCACUUUAAGAGAUCCACUAUUUAAGAACUUAUUUUGCAAAAUAGAUUUGUUUAUUCAUUCCAUAAAUACAUAUAGCUGGUGUGUGACAAUCUUAACAGUGAGUGGGGGCUGGGCACGAUGGCUCAUGUCUGUAAUCCCAGCACUUUGGGAGGCCGAGGCAGGAAGAUCACUUGAGGCCAGGAGUUUGAGACCAGCCUGGCCAACAUGGUGAAACCUUGUCGCUACUAAAAAUACAAAAAUUAGCCAGGCAUUGUGGUGCACACCUGUAAUCCCAGCUACUUGGGAGGCUGUGGUGGGAGAAUCCCUUGAACUCAAAAGGUGGAGAUUGCGGUGAGCUGAGAUGGCACCACUGCACUCCAGCUUGGGCAACAGAGCAAGACUCCAUCUCAAAAAACAAACAAACAAAACAAAACAAAAAAACAGUGAGUAGGACUAACUCCAUGCCAGACACAGCUUCAAGUGCUUUCUAGAUAUUCAAAUAUCUGUCAAAGAUAUGUCUAAAAAAGCAGUAAUUUAAGGUGGGUUCUGUUAUGUCUUACCUGCUUGGUCAGCCAUAGCAAAGUACUGUAGACUGAGAAAUUUCUUCCUUUUUUUUUUUUUCUUUUUGAGACGGAGUCUUGCUCUGUCACUCAGGCUGGAGUGCAAUGAUGCGAUCUGGGCUCACAGCAACCUCGACCUCUGGGGUUCAAGCAAUUCUCCUGCCUCAGUCUCCCGAGUAGCUGGGAUUACAGGUGUGUGCCACUAUGACUGGCUAAUUUUUUUUGUAUUUUUGGUAGAGACGGGGUUUCACCAUGUUGGCCAGGCUCAUCUUGAACUCGUGACCUCAAACGAUUUGCCCACCUCAGCCUCCCAAAGUGCUGGGAUUACAGACAUGAGCCACUGUCCCUGGCUAAGAAAUUUAUUUCUUAUAGUUCUGGAGGCUGGGAAGUCCAAGAUCAAGGUGUUGGCAAGGUAGAUUUUAUUCUGAGGCCUCUUCUCUGGCUUGUAGACAGCUGCCUUCUUACUGUGUGCUCACAUGAACUCUUCUACCUCUCUUUUCUUUUCUUUCUUUUUUUUUUAUUUUUUAUUUUUUUUGAGACAAAAAUCUCGCUCUUGUCCCCCAGGCUGCAGUGCAAUGGCACGAUCUCUGCUCACUGCAACUUCUGCCUCCCGGGUUCAAGUGAUUCUCCUGCCUCAGCCUCCCAAGUAGCUGGUAUUACAGGCGCUCACCACCACGCCCAGCUAAUUUUGUAUUUUGAGUAGAGACAGGGUUUCACCGUGUUGGCCAGGCUGAUCUCAAACUCCUGACCUCAAGUGAUCCGUCCACUUCAGCCUCCCAAAGUGCUGGGUUUACAGGCGUGAGCCACCCUGCCUGGCCCUCUUUCUUCUUUCUUUUCUUUUCUUUCCUUCUUUUUGAGACAGAAUCUCACUCUGUCACCCAGGUUGGAGUGCAGUGGCGCAAUCUUGGCUCACUGCAACCUCUACCUCCUGGGUUCAGGUGAUUCUCCCAUCUGGGCCUCCCACGGGACUACAGGCGCGCACCACCACACCUGGCUAAUAUUUUUUUUUCUGAGACGGCGUUUCGCUAUAAUUUCCCAGCCUCAGGUAUUCCUUUGGCAACAUCUAUGGCCUAAGAGAGGUAGGGUGAGGGUGGAGUGGUGGAAUGGGUGGUCUCUUCUCCAGGCCUCCUUUAAAUGGACACCUUGCCCUCUAGUGUAUCUCACCCUCUUUCCCCACCAGCAUAAACAUCUUUUUUUUAAUUUAAGAGAUGACGUAUUGCUAUGUUUUUUGGGCUGGUCUUUGAACUCCUGGCCUCAAGCAAUCCUCCUGCCUCAGCCUCCCAAUGUGCUGGGAUUACAGGAUGAGGGCAAAAGAGUUUAAGAUGGUGGAGCCUUAUUAUGCAAAGGAACCCAAUCCCAGCGUCCACUGGAAGAAGACUGCCCAGGACUUCUACCUUCCCGGGAACAUCUGCCCAGAGUCCACCAGCUGGAAGAAGACUGCCCAGGACUUCUACCUUCCUGGGAACAUCUGCAUCAGACUCUGUGGGGGAGGGAAAUAAGCCUUCAUUGUGUUCA